UGGGGAAUUUUCCGCAAUGGGCGCAAGCCUGACGGAGCAAUACCGCGUGAGGGAGGAAGGUCCUUGGAUUGUAAACCUCUUUUCUCAGGGAAGAAGUUCUACGGUACCUGAUGAAUAAGCAUCGGCUAACUCCGUGCCAGCAGCCGCGGUAAUACGGAGGAUGCAAGCGUUAUCCGGAAUUAUUGGGCGUAAAGCGUCCGUAGGUGGUUAUGCAAGUCUGCCGUUAAAGAAUGGAGCUUAACUCCAUAGGAGCGGUGGAAACUGCAAGACUAGAGUACAGUAGGGGUAGCAGGAAUUCCCAGUGUAGCGGUGAAAUGCGUAGAUAUUGGGAAGAACAUCGGUGGCGAAAGCGUGCUACUGGGCUGAAACUGACACUGAGGGACGAAAGCUAGGGUAGCGAAAGGGAUUAGAUACCCCUGUAGUC
This 424-nucleotide ribosomal RNA is filed under the name uncultured Aphanocapsa sp. Its description in RNAcentral is "bacterial SSU rRNA". It matches the Rfam family "Bacterial small subunit ribosomal RNA", at positions 355 to 795 of the family's 1533-position model. Lineage: Bacteria; Bacillati; Cyanobacteriota; Cyanophyceae; Chroococcales; Microcystaceae. The record is from RNAcentral.